CAAGAGAAGUCUCAUCCUUCCCAAAGACUUCCUAGUCAAAAUGAAGUAGUGUCAAUUAAAGAUAGUGCCCCGAUACUCUUCAAGAUUCCUAGUGGGGUUCCUCGCUUUCUUAAGUGUCUAUUAACUACCGUGAAGUAUGUGGAGCCAAGUUUCAUGAUCAAAUUUCCGAUGGAUUUUGAGAUAUUCGGCCAUGAGAAUAAUUUAUAUAUCUCACAAGAAUAUAUAGUCCAUGUUGGCUUAAUGGAAGAGAUUGGAGCAUAAUGUGUAUCGUUAUAUAUCAGGAUUUUAUACUUCCAAUUAGUGAAAAGAGAGAUCAGUCACUUUUUUCGUUUUGUUGAGCCAAUGUGGUUAUCAAAUGUUGGAUCCACUGAAGAAGAACGAGUUGAAUGGGUAUCAAAGCGUAUGAUUGAUUCAAAUCCGGGUCAGAUGUGGUUGUUGCCAUAUCAUAAGGGAAAGCAUUGGAUGCUUAUAAUAAUUGAUUUUGAUCACCAAUUGUGCUAUUUUUUGGAUUCUCUUCACAAUUUUCCACCAGAUGAAAUCAAAUCUCUCAUUUCUCGCGUGGAGAACAGUUAAGUGUCCUCGUCAACCAUUACAAUCAGUACAAUGUGGGUUCUAUGUUAUGAGGAUGAUGAAGGACUUCGUGACAAAUGAGUUUUCAAUGCGAUGGCUAACUAGUAACUGUGGCGGGAAGAACUAUUACACAAAGGAUGAGAUCAAUGAAGUACGUGAAGAAUUGGCACAAUGCGUCAUGGAUUUGAUGAGUACUACAUAGGUCUACCCACUUUUGUUAACUUAGACUUUUAAUGAGAUAUACUUACAAUGUUAACUUAAACUUUCUUGAAGAUAUACACACUUUUGUUGUCCAACUAUAGUUUACAAUGCUUAUAUGAGUCAUUUUGUAAUUAACUUAAGACUCGUUAUUUUAGAUACUUAGUUCAAAUUCUAGUAUUUUAUAUUAUUGUGAUAUAUGUUUUGUUUU
Molecule: long non-coding RNA, 979 nt
Organism: Humulus lupulus (European hop)
Lineage: Eukaryota; Viridiplantae; Streptophyta; Magnoliopsida; Rosales; Cannabaceae
Exons: 5
Source: RefSeq, a predicted model, not a curated record